RNAcentral lists this ribosomal RNA (717 nucleotides) under uncultured bacterium. RNAcentral's name for it is "bacterial SSU rRNA". It matches the Rfam family "Bacterial small subunit ribosomal RNA", at positions 134 to 851 of the family's 1533-position model. The record is from RNAcentral.
UACAGGGGGAUAACACUUAGAAAUAGGUGCUAAUACCGCAUAAGCGCACGGUUCCGCAUGGAACAGUGUGAAAAACUCCGGUGGUAUACGAUGGAUCCGCGUCUGAUUAGCCAGUUGGCGGGGUAACGGCCCACCAAAGCGACGAUCAGUAGCCGGCCUGAGAGGGCGAACGGCCACAUUGGGACUGAGACACGGCCCAAACUCCUACGGGAGGCAGCAGUGGGGAAUAUUGCACAACGGGGGAAACCCUGAUGCAGCGACGCCGCGUGAGUGAAGAAGUAUUUCGGUACGUAAAGCUCUAUCAGCAGGGAAGAAAAAAAGUCCUUUGGACUUUGGACGGUACCUGACCAAGAAGCCCCGGCUAACUACGUGCCAACAGCCGCGGUAAUACGUAGGGGGCAAGCGUUAUCCGGAUUUACUGGGUGUAAAGGGAGCGUAGACGGCAGCGCAAGUCUGGAGUGAAAUGCCGGGGCCCAACCCCGGAACUGCUUUGGAAACUGUGCAGCUGGAGUGCAGGAGAGGUAAGCGGAAUUCCUAGUGUAGCGGUGAAAUGCGUAGAUAUUAGGAGGAACACCAGUGGCGAAGGCGGCUUACUGGACUGUAACUGACGUUGAGGCUCGAAAGCGUGGGGAGCAAACAGGAUUAGAUACCCUGGUAGUCCACGCCGUAAACGAUGAUUACUAGGUGUCGGGGGGCCAAGGCCCUUCGGUGCCGCCG